GCCUUCGUGGUUUAGUGGUCAGCACGCUCGACGAGUAAUCGAGAGGUCCGUGGUUCGAGUCCCGGCGAAUUCG
Molecule: transfer RNA, 73 nt
Filed under: Stegodyphus mimosarum
Lineage: Eukaryota; Metazoa; Arthropoda; Arachnida; Araneae; Eresidae
Rfam family: tRNA
About the family: Transfer RNA (tRNA) molecules are approximately 80 nucleotides in length. Their secondary structure includes four short double-helical elements and three loops (D, anti-codon, and T loops). Further hydrogen bonds mediate the characteristic L-shaped molecular structure. tRNAs have two regions of fundamental functional importance: the anti-codon, which is responsible for specific mRNA codon recognition, and the 3' end, to which the tRNAs corresponding amino acid is attached (by aminoacyl-tRNA synthetases). tRNAs cope with the degeneracy of the genetic code in two manners: having more than one tRNA (with a specific anti-codon) for a particular amino acid; and 'wobble' base-pairing, i.e. permitting non-standard base-pairing at the 3rd anti-codon position.
Source: Rfam by way of RNAcentral